Molecule: non-coding RNA, 47 nt
Organism: Schistosoma mansoni
Lineage: Eukaryota; Metazoa; Platyhelminthes; Trematoda; Strigeidida; Schistosomatidae
Source: Rfam
AUCCAGUUGACGAGUCCCAAAUAGGACGAACGCGCGUCAAACUGGAU